GAUGAAGAACGCAGCGAAAUGCGAUAAGUAGUGUGAAUUGCAGAAUUCAGUGAAUCAUCGAAUCUUUGAACGCACAUUGCGCCCCUUGGUAUUCCAUGGGGCAUGCCUGUUCGAGCGUCAUUUGUACCUUCAAGCUUUGCUUGGUGUUGGGUGUUUGUCUCGCCUUUGCGUGUAGACUCGCCUUAAAAUAAUUGGCAGCCGGCGUAUUGAUUUCGGAGCGCAGUACAUCUCGCGCUUUGCACUCAUAACGACAGCGUCCAAACGUACAUUUUACACUCUUGACCUCGGAUCAGGUAGGGAUACCCGCUGAACUUAAGCAUAUCAAUAAGCGGAGGA
Molecule: unclassified non-coding RNA, 336 nt
Filed under: soil metagenome
Description: partial contains 5.8S ribosomal RNA, internal transcribed spacer 2, and large subunit ribosomal RNA
Rfam family: 5.8S ribosomal RNA (bases 1-120)
Source: RNAcentral